This is a long non-coding RNA of Cuculus canorus (common cuckoo), 743 nucleotides long. RefSeq lists it as uncharacterized. The transcript is spliced from 2 exons. The record is from RefSeq and is a predicted model, not a curated record. Lineage: Eukaryota; Metazoa; Chordata; Aves; Cuculiformes; Cuculidae.
UGGUGGUGGUGGCUCAGGCCAUCAAGGCCAAGGCUCCAUCUGCAUUGGAGGUGGCGGCAUGGGAGGAGGAGGAGGAGGUGGAGGUGGAGGUGGUGGCUCAGGCCACCAAGGCCAAGGCCCCAUCUGCAUCGGAGGCGGCAGCAUGGGAGGAGGAGGUGGAGGUGGUGGCUCAGGCCACCAAGGCCAAGGCCCCAUCUGCAUCGGAGGUGGCGGCAUGGGAGGAGGAGGGGGAGGUGGUGGCUCAGGCCAUCAAAGCCAAGGCCCCAUCUGCAUCGGAGGUGGCGGCAUGGGAGGAGGAGGGGGAGGUAGUGGUGGUUCAGGCCACCAGGGCCAAGGAUCCAUCUGCAUUAUCGGAGGAGGUGGCUCAGGCCACCAGGGUCAGGGAUCAUCCUCUUGUGGACAAGGUGGAAGUGGUUCUUCAAGUUCUGGAGGUAUGUCCAUUCAACAGCAGACCCAGCCGAUCUCCUGGCCACCACAAAGUAAGCACAAGUAGUGUCUGCAGAACGGACUCUCGGAUCAAGAAAUGCCAAGAAACGUGCCUCGCCUCUGUUUCUCUAUUAAAUUUAAGAAUAUUUCCAUUAUUCCUUUCUCCACCUUGGGACAUUCCUGUUCAGCUCUCAAGCUGACUAGAGCCUCUAGGAUUCUGUGUCAAUAACUUCCAACCACAGUUGUUUCAAAUGUCUGUUUUCUGCCUCAAAUUUCUCAUGCUUGCAUAAGUUAAUAAAACUUGCACUUCUGGAGAG